RNAcentral lists this ribosomal RNA (303 nucleotides) under Australomimetus sp. GH808. Its description in RNAcentral is "partial 12S ribosomal RNA". The record is from RNAcentral. Lineage: Eukaryota; Metazoa; Arthropoda; Arachnida; Araneae; Mimetidae.
UUUUUCAUACAACCCAUAUAAGACUGGCGGCAUUUCAUCUUAUUAGAGGAACAUGUAAUUUAAUCGAUAAUACACGAUUACUUUCACUUAAUUUAAAAUUUUAUAUACCUCCGUCCUCAAUUUAAUAUUAAUAUAUCUUUAAAAUAAUAUUCUAAAAAGUCAGGUAAAGGUGUAAACCAAAAUUAAGGCUUAAAUGUGUUACUUUAAAAAUAAUUUAAGAACUUCAAGCCAAAACUACCACGAAAAAGGAUUUAAAAGUAAUAUUAAUAUAAAAUAUUUAUUUGAAUAAGAAAAUAAAUGUGC